AAAUAGAGGCGCGGCAAACAUCAGUACCACGGCAGACGGCUCGGAAAGGCCGCCGUGCGAAAGGGAAUGCCGCCGAAGUAAAUACGGGGUUUCCGUUUCGUAUUUGCUGGUUUGAUAUGAAAUACAUAUCAGACUGUCACUUUAAGUGGAGCGCUAUUU
Molecule: non-coding RNA, 159 nt
Filed under: bovine gut metagenome
Description: Lysine riboswitch
Rfam family: Lysine riboswitch aptamer
About the family: Riboswitches are metabolite binding domains within certain messenger RNAs that serve as precision sensors for their corresponding targets.
Source: RNAcentral